GAUGAACGCUGGCGGCGUGCCUAAUACAUGCAAGUCGAGCGAACAGACGAGGAGCUUGCUCCUCUGACGUUAGCGGCGGACGGGUGAGUAACAUGUGGAUAACCUACCUAUAAGACUGGGAUAACUUCGGGAAACCGGAGCUAAUAACGGAUAAUAUAUUGAACCGCAUGGUUCAAUAGUGAAAGACGGUUUUGCUGUCACUUAUAGAUGGAUCCGCGCCGCAUUAGCUAGUUGGUAAGGUAACGGCUUACCAAGGCAACGCUGCGUAGCCGACGUGUGAGCGGGAUCGGCCACACUGGAACUGAGACACGGCCCAGACUCCUACGAGAGGCAGCAGUAGGGAAUCUGCCGCAAUGGGCGAAAGCCUGACGGAGCAACGCCGCGUGAGUGAUGAGGGUCUUCGGAUCGUAAAACUCUGUUAUUAGGGAAGAACAAAUGUGUAAGUAACUAUGCACGUCUUGACGGUACCUAAUCAGGAAGCCACGGCUAACUACGUG
This 497-nucleotide ribosomal RNA is filed under the name uncultured bacterium. RNAcentral's name for it is "partial 16S ribosomal RNA". It matches the Rfam family "Bacterial small subunit ribosomal RNA", at positions 28 to 507 of the family's 1533-position model. The record is from RNAcentral.